Molecule: ribosomal RNA, 253 nt
Filed under: uncultured bacterium
Lineage: Bacteria
Description: partial 16S ribosomal RNA
Rfam family: Bacterial small subunit ribosomal RNA
Source: RNAcentral
UACGAAGGGGGCUAGCGUUGCUCGGAAUCACUGGGCGUAAAGGGCGCGUAGGCGGCUGUUUAAGUCGGAGGUGAAAGCCCGUGGCUCAACCACGGAAAGGCCUUCGAUACUGGACGGCUUGAGACCGGAAGAGGACGGCGGAACUGCGAGUGUAGAGGUGAAAUUCGUAGAUAUUCGCAAGAACACCAGUGGCGAAGGCGGCUGUCUGGUCCGGUUCUGACGCUGAGGCGUGAAAGCGUGGGGAGCAAACAGG